Molecule: small RNA, 286 nt
Rfam family: A. fumigatus sRNA Afu_309
Source: Rfam
CUUUUUCCCUUCACCACGGACCUGUGCCCAGAAUCCGCUGCUCGUUCAGCGCCGAAUCUGCGGCAGCUCGAUACCCCCAUGGGAAUCAUCAGCUUCAUUGCUAAACAUGAUGGCAGUCCUAUCGACAGGUCCUAGAGUAAUUCGGCGCAUUGUCGUCGCCCUGCUCGCCGUAAAAGGCUGAGCUCGGCGUUAUGGCGGCAGCGCGUCGUAAAGGUUAUAUUCCACUCCCCUUUUCCAAGAUCGUCGAUCGAUGAGGUUGGGGCAAACCAUGACUAUUCUUACAAAA